Molecule: long non-coding RNA, 1263 nt
Organism: Oncorhynchus tshawytscha (Chinook salmon)
Lineage: Eukaryota; Metazoa; Chordata; Actinopteri; Salmoniformes; Salmonidae
Exons: 3
Source: RefSeq, a predicted model, not a curated record
AAAAUAGUCCUCACCAUAGCCCCGCUGCCACCAGAUGGCGCUAUUAUUCUUUACAUAUUUUGUCACCCACAGAGCAGCAUACCUAGGCAACCUUUCAGGCUUAUCUCUGCGCCUUCAGUUCCCUCAGGAGAAGUCUUCCCUCACUCCCCAUCCACCCCCAUGAAACAACACCUCUGAUAAGGGCGUCUAUGGAUGAAGACAUGGAUUUCUCAUGGUAUGGUGGGGUAUGUAAAAUGGGUCACCAUUGAGCACCUUUAUCUAUUAUGUUUGGGCAUUCAUUUCUGACCACUUCUACAAUGGGCAAAUAUGUAUAGAAAGUUUUGUUCAAAUCUAAACGGGUGCAGUCAAAAACUAUUCUCUCUCAAAUAUAUUAUUACCUUGGUUUUUAAAUGACAACUUGGCAAGCAUACACCUGUAAAUUCUACCUAGUGCUACAGCUGUAGGAUCUUAAUUUGAUCACCCUGUUGCAGGAUAACUUUACUGCAAUGCAGGAAAUUGAAAACAUGUAGUGUAUUUGAGGUUUAAAAAGGCUUCCGUUUGUAAUUUACACUUUGACAUUUCACACUUGAUUUUUCCCUUAAGAAAAAUGUAGUAACCCCUACAAAAAUGUCCAUUAUUUAUAAUCCACGUAAUAAUUCACAUUUCCUGUUGCUGCAGGAUUAUUUUCUUUCUGUAACAAAUUGGCUCAAAUUAAGAUCCUACAUAUGUACUAACUAAUAACAUAUAUUAGAUUACUUAAACAGUUGAUUAACCUGUCUUCUGAUAAGCCUGGUGCCUCCAUAACACUCUAUUAACCAGCAUGCAAUUUGGCAAACACCGGAGCUGCAUGGGGUGAAUAAAAGGAUGAGCACGUUUUCAUCUGCUUUUUCUCUAUGCAGGAGUAAUCCAUCAAUCGGGGAAAUGUUCAACAUGAUUUGGUUUUGCAUUGGUAUUCAUUAACCAUUACAGUCAAGGGGGGGGGAUAUCCUGCAGAUGUGAGGAUUGGGUUUCAUAGGGGCAUACUUUUCCUGGGCACCUCCAUGAGACACUGGGGUUUUAAGGGCCACACACACAACAUAACCUUAGCAUGACUUACAUGGAACCUACAAUUCCUGUUUUUGUUUCCAUGCUCAAAGGAGCAGAAGAACUCACAUGUAAAUUCACUGUAGCUUGUAAAAAUCUCGAUUGGACAACAAAUAGGGAAAGGAACAGUCUGUGAAAAUUGUUUUUAGUAGUGUUUGUAUUGCUAAUUUGAUUAAAGUCUUCUAAUGGUGAAUAAAACUU